UGGAAAUGAUGAAAUAGAGAUAACUGGGUGUCAAAUGUUGUAUGAUUGGAAAUUUUUAAUAUGUAAGUUAAGAGAUUAAUCUAAGUUUUAAAAAAAAGAGCAUCGUAAAAUUACACUCCAA
Non-coding RNA from Acinonyx jubatus (cheetah), 121 nucleotides. RefSeq annotates it as small Cajal body-specific RNA 7. NCBI's taxonomy places the organism in Eukaryota, Metazoa, Chordata, Mammalia, Carnivora, Felidae. The record is from RefSeq and is a predicted model, not a curated record. The transcript has a single exon.